GACGAACGCUGGCGGCGUGCCUAAUACAUGCAAGUUGAGCGCUGAAGGUUGGUACUUGUACCAACUGGAUGAGCAGCGAACGGGUGAGUAACGCGUGGGGAAUCUGCCUUUGAGCGGGGGACAACAUUUGGAAACGAAUGCUAAUACCGCAUAAAAACUUUAAACACAAGUUUUAAGUUUGAAAGAUGCAAUUGCAUCACUCAAAGAUGAUCCCGCGUUGUAUUAGCUAGUUGGUGAGGUAAAGGCUCACCAAGGCGAUGAUACAUAGCCGACCUGAGAGGGUGAUCGGCCACAUUGGGACUGAGACACGGCCCAAACUCCUACGGGAGGCAGCAGUAGGGAAUCUUCGGCAAUGGACGAAAGUCUGACCGAGCAACGCCGCGUGAGUGAAGAAGGUUUUCGGAUCGUAAAACUCUGUUGGUAGGGAGGAACGUUGGUGAGAGUGGAAAGCUCAUCAAGUGACGGUAACUACCCAGAAAGGGACGGCUAACUACGUG
Molecule: ribosomal RNA, 497 nt
Filed under: uncultured bacterium
Lineage: Bacteria
Description: partial 16S ribosomal RNA
Rfam family: Bacterial small subunit ribosomal RNA
Source: RNAcentral